UGAGCUCAGGCAAGAACA
This 18-nucleotide ribosomal RNA is filed under the name Trebouxia sp. Ps1. RNAcentral describes it as "partial 26S ribosomal RNA". Lineage: Eukaryota; Viridiplantae; Chlorophyta; Trebouxiophyceae; Trebouxiales; Trebouxiaceae. The record is from RNAcentral.